Molecule: ribosomal RNA, 362 nt
Filed under: uncultured bacterium
Lineage: Bacteria
Description: bacterial SSU rRNA
Rfam family: Bacterial small subunit ribosomal RNA
Source: RNAcentral
GAUAAACGCUGGCGGCGUGCAUGAGACAUGCAAGUCGAACGGACGAUCAGGGCUUGCUCUGAUCGUUAGUGGCGGACGGCUGAGUAACGCGUAGGUGACCUGCCCCGAAGUGGGGAAUAACUGCCCGAAAGGGUGGCUAAUACCGCAUGUGGUGGUGCCUUCAUAGGCACCAGUAAAGCCGCAAGGCGCUUCGGGAGGGGCCUGCGUCCGAUUAGCUCGUUGGUGGGGAACGGCUCACCAAGGCGACGAUCGGUAGGUGGUCUGAGAGGACGAUCACCCAGACUGGGACUGAGACACGGCCCAGACUCCUACGGGAGGCAGCAGUCGGGAAUUUUGCGCAAUGGACGAAAGUCUGACGCAGC